Molecule: ribosomal RNA, 460 nt
Filed under: uncultured bacterium
Lineage: Bacteria
Description: partial 16S ribosomal RNA
Rfam family: Bacterial small subunit ribosomal RNA
Source: RNAcentral
CCUACGGGAGGCAGCAGUGAGGAAUAUUGGUCAAUGGGCGCGAGCCUGAACCAGCCAAGUAGCGUGAAGGAUGACUGCCCUACGGGUUGUAAACCUCUUUUGCCGGGGAGCAACGGGCGUCACGUGUGGCGCCACUGAGAGUACCCGGAGAAAAAGCAUCGGCUAACUCCGUGCCAGCAGCCGCGGUAAUAAGGAGGAUGCGAGGGUUAUCCGGAUUUAUUGGGUUUAAAGGGUGCGUAGCCGGAUCGUUAAGUCAGUGGUCAAAUUGAGGGGCUCAACCCCUUCCCGCCAUUGAAACUGGCGUUCUUGAGUGGAAGAGAAGUAUGCGGAAUGCGUGGUGUAGCGGUGAAAUACAUAGAUAUCACGCAGAACCCCGAUUGCGAAGGCAGCAUGCCGGCUUCCGACUGACGCUGAAGCACGAAAGCGUGGGGAUCGAACAGGAUUAGAUACCCGAGUAGUC